GGGGAUUUAGCUCAGUGGUAGAGUGCUUGCCUAGGAAGCGCAAGGCCCUGGGUUCCAUCCCCAGCUCCG
This 69-nucleotide transfer RNA is filed under the name Rattus norvegicus (Norway rat). It matches the Rfam family "tRNA". Rfam says of the family: Transfer RNA (tRNA) molecules are approximately 80 nucleotides in length. The record is from Rfam by way of RNAcentral. Lineage: Eukaryota; Metazoa; Chordata; Mammalia; Rodentia; Muridae.